UGGGGAAUAUUGCACAAUGGGCGCAAGCCUGAUGCAGCCAUGCCGCGUGUAUGAAGAAGGCCUUCGGGUUGUAAAGUACUUUCAGCGGGGAGGAAGGGAGUAAAGUUAAUACCUUUACUCAUUGACGUUACCCGCAGAAGAAGCACCGGCUAACUCCGUGCCAGCAGCCGCGGUAAUACGGAGGGUGCAAGCAUUAAUCGGAAUUACUGGGCGUAAAGCGCACGCAGGCGGUUUGUUAAGUCAGAUGUGAAAUCCCCGGGCUCAACCUGGGAACUGCAUCUGAUACUGGCAAGCUUGAGUCUCGUAGAGGGGGGUAGAAUUCCAGAUGUAGCGGUGAAAUGCGUAGAGUUCUGGAGGAAUACCGGUGGCGAAGGCGGCCCCCUGGACGAAGACUGACGCUCAGGUGCGAAAGCGUGGGGAGCAAACAGG
RNAcentral lists this ribosomal RNA (429 nucleotides) under Chloroflexota bacterium. RNAcentral describes it as "Chloroflexi bacterium partial 16S ribosomal RNA". It matches the Rfam family "Bacterial small subunit ribosomal RNA", at positions 355 to 776 of the family's 1533-position model. The record is from RNAcentral. Lineage: Bacteria; Bacillati; Chloroflexota.